Molecule: ribosomal RNA, 514 nt
Filed under: Boophis albipunctatus
Lineage: Eukaryota; Metazoa; Chordata; Amphibia; Anura; Mantellidae
Description: partial 16S ribosomal RNA
Rfam family: Bacterial large subunit ribosomal RNA
Source: RNAcentral
CGGCCGCGGUACUCUAACCGUGCAAAGGUAGCACAAUCAAUUGUUCUUUAAAUGAGGACUAGAAUCAACGGCAUCACGAGGAUCCUACUGUCUCCCCCCUCUAAUCAGUGAAAUUAAUCUCCCCGUGAAGAAGCGGGGAUAAAAAUAUAAGACGAGAAGACCCCAUGGAGCUUUAAACCCAACAACACCCAUUUAUUUUAUAUCCUCAUAUUUAUAUGGUUAUGUUUGUUUAGUUUUAGGUUGGGGUGACCACGGAGUAUAAAAUAGCCUCCAUGAAGAAAAGACUAAUAAUCUUUAUUAGAGAAAUACAUUUCUAAAAAUUAAUAAAUUAACUUUUAAUAAUCCAAUAUUUGAUCAACGAACCAAGUUACCCUAGGGGAUAACAGCGCAAUCCACUUUAAGAGCCCAUAUCGACAAGUGGGUUUACGACCUCGAUGUUGGAUCAGGGUAUCACAGUGGUGCAGCAGCUACUAAUGGGUUCGUUUGUUCAACGAUUAAAACCCUACGUGAUCUG